This 463-nucleotide ribosomal RNA is filed under the name Pseudomonas sp. BAB-3702. RNAcentral's name for it is "bacterial SSU rRNA". It matches the Rfam family "Bacterial small subunit ribosomal RNA", at positions 53 to 513 of the family's 1533-position model. Lineage: Bacteria; Pseudomonadati; Pseudomonadota; Gammaproteobacteria; Pseudomonadales; Pseudomonadaceae. The record is from RNAcentral.
ACAUGCAGUCGAGCGGAUGAAGGGAGCUUGUCCUGGAUUCAGCGGCGGACGGGUGAGUAAUGCCUAGGAAUCUGCCUGGUAGUGGGGGAUAACGUCCGGAAACGGGCGCUAAUACCGCAUACGUCCUGAGGGAGAAAGUGGGGGAUCUUCGGACCUCACGCUAUCAGAUGAGCCUAGGUCGGAUUAGCUAGUUGGUGGGGUAAAGGCCUACCAAGGCGACGAUCCGUAACUGGUCUGAGAGGAUGAUCAGUCACACUGGAACUGAGACACGGUCCAGACUCCUACGGGAGGCAGCAGUGGGGAAUAUUGGACAAUGGGCGAAAGCCUGAUCCAGCCAUGCCGCGUGUGUGAAGAAGGUCUUCGGAUUGUAAAGCACUUUAAGUUGGGAGGAAGGGCAGUAAGUUAAUACCUUGCUGUUUUGACGUUACCAACAGAAUAAGCACCGGCUAACUUCGUGCCAGCA